AAACAUCGCCUCCUGCAACAUUUACGUAUAGGAGGUCUUGCCUGCCCAGUGAAUAUUUUAAACGGCCGCGGUAUUUUGACCGUGCGAAGGUAGCGCAAUCACUUGUCUUUUAAAUAGAGACCUGUAUGAAUGGUAGAACGAAGGCUUAACUGUCUCCCCCCUCCAGUCAAUGAAAUUGAUCUGCCCGUGCAGAAGCGGGCAUAUAAUCACAAGACGAGAAGACCCUUUGGAGCUUAAGAUAAAAAAUCACCUAUGUCAAAAACUCAACCAAACCCGUUAAACCAAAUAGUGCCUGAUUUUAAUCUUCGGUUGGGGCGACCAUGGGAAAAAAUAAAGCUCCCACGCGGAUCGGGGCCCUGAGCCCUGCAACCAAGAAAGACACUUCCAAGUACUAAAACAUUUAACCACCACGACCCAGUCAAGCACUGAUCAACGAACCAAGUUACCCAAGGGAUAACAGCGCAAUCCUUUUCAAGAGUCCAUAUCGACAAAAGGGUUUACGACCUCGAUGUUGGAUCAGGACGUCCUAAUGGUGCAGCCGCUAUUAAGGGUUCGUUUGUUCAACGAUUAAAGUCCUACGUGAU
RNAcentral lists this ribosomal RNA (584 nucleotides) under Pterobunocephalus depressus. RNAcentral describes it as "partial 16S ribosomal RNA". It matches the Rfam family "Bacterial large subunit ribosomal RNA", at positions 1811 to 2604 of the family's 2925-position model. Lineage: Eukaryota; Metazoa; Chordata; Actinopteri; Siluriformes; Aspredinidae. The record is from RNAcentral.